This 912-nucleotide long non-coding RNA is filed under the name Eucalyptus grandis. RNAcentral's name for it is "long non-coding RNA (EGRA_LNC001369)". The record is from RNAcentral. Lineage: Eukaryota; Viridiplantae; Streptophyta; Magnoliopsida; Myrtales; Myrtaceae.
UUUUCUCUCACUACUCUCUCUUUACAUCUCUCUCUCGGUCUCUUUAAACCCAAGCCGAAGGAACAAGUUUACGUGAGCUCGCAAGAAUAAACCCCAUUAAUUCUCUCUGGCAGAAGACUUGGAGGGACUUUUUCUCUGCAAUUCUCUCCACUCACUCUCUUUCUUCUCAUUGACUUUCCUUUGGUCGGUUCAAUGGAAAGCAAAAGAGAGAAUUCCACUCAUUCUCUCUCAUUCAUGGAUUUUCACGAACACAUACGGACUUGUUCUCAUCUUCAUGGAGUCAUCGCCGAAGCUUGACAUCUGGAAUGAAGUAGACGCACGCUUGCACAUAAACAAGCUCGAUCGGAUGAAGAUUCAUCUCUUCGAACUCUCCAUUACUUGAUCACAGCAGCAAGACGGAAGCUAAGUCUUCUUUCCUAUUCUCUAGCUUUGACUUUGAUGCGAUCGAUUAGUUGAUUUUCCUAGCGAUCUUAAGCUACCGUGAUAGUUUAUUCUCAGAUCGUGCUUUGAUCUUGAUUAGUUUCCUUUCAUCAGAUUUUGUUGAUUCGAUUUCGCUGAUUUUGCUGAAGAAGGGGUUGAGAAAAUGCAUCUACAUUGCCACUCCAAAGAGGCAUAUAUGAUCUUCAAAUCGGCUGCCGAGGCGUUCAUUCGAGGAGCUCGUGGAUCACAAGUUUAAUUCUCAUAACCAUUUAUGAGAUCAUAGCAACAAGACUGAAGUGAUCUUAUGCUAUUGUGAUGGCUUCAUCUCGGAUUGUACCUUGAUUAUAAUCAGUGCAAAAUUAAAAGCCAAUGUUCUUCAUUUUCCAGAAGUUCCAGAAAUGAAAUUGAAGCAUUGAAGCCAAGUGUUUGAUUUACUCUUUUCUGCUUUGGUUAUGGAAUGUUAUUAGAUUCAGAUCCUCCAUUGAUUUCAAU